This is a non-coding RNA of Psammomys obesus (fat sand rat), 467 nucleotides long. The record is from the annotation of a RefSeq genome assembly. NCBI's taxonomy places the organism in Eukaryota, Metazoa, Chordata, Mammalia, Rodentia, Muridae.
GCAGGGGGAGCAGGAUGAAGUCACAGACCCAGGUCCUCAUAUCACUGCUGCUAUGGGUGUCUGGUGCCUGUGCAGACAUUGUGAUGACUCAGUCUCCAUCCUUCCUGGCUGUGUCAGAGGGAGAGAAGGUCUCCAUCAGCUGCAGGUCCAGUCAGAGUCUUUAUUACAGUGGCAACCAAAAGAACUUAUUGUCCUGGUACCAGCAGAAACCAGGGCAAUCCCCUAAACGGCUGAUCUAUUAUGCAUCCACUCGGGACACUGGGGUCCCUGAUCGCUUCACAGGCAGUGGAUCUGGGACAGAUUUCACUCUCACCAUCAGCAGUGUGCAGGCUGAAGACCUGGCAGUUUAUUACUGUAUGCAGAGUUACAGUGCUCCUCCCACAGAAAUGGAAGCUUGUCAUAUCUCCAGACAAGAUGGAGAGGAAUAUUGGAUUCUGCAUCAUUUUGACAUCCCCGUUGAACCCUAA